UACGGGACGCAGCAGUGGGAAUUUUGGACAAUGGGGGAAACAGUCAGCCAUCCCGCGUGUGCGAUGAGAGCCUUCAGGUUGUGAAAAACACUUUUGGCAGGAAAGAAACGGCGGGAUAAUACGUACACGCGUGGCGGUACCUGCAGAAUAAGCACCGGCUAACUACGUGCCAGCAGCCGCGGUAAUACGUAGGGUGCAAGCGUUAAUCGGAAUUACUGGGCGUAAAGCGUGCGCAGGCGGUUCCGGAAAGAAAGAUGUGAAAUCCCAGGCUUAGCACUGAGACUGCAAUUUUUAACUACCGAGCUAGAGUGUGUCAGAGGUGGAAUUCCGCGUGUAGCAGUGAAAUGCGUAGAUAUGCGGAGGGAACACCGAUGGCGAAGGCAGCCUCCUGGGAUAACACUGACGCUCAUGCACAAGCGUGGGGAGCAAACGGGAUUAGAAUACCCUGGUGG
This 452-nucleotide unclassified non-coding RNA is filed under the name uncultured Bordetella sp. Its description in RNAcentral is "partial 16S-23S ribosomal RNA intergenic spacer". It matches the Rfam family "Bacterial small subunit ribosomal RNA", at positions 340 to 793 of the family's 1533-position model. The record is from RNAcentral. Lineage: Bacteria; Pseudomonadati; Pseudomonadota; Betaproteobacteria; Burkholderiales; Alcaligenaceae.